This 461-nucleotide ribosomal RNA is filed under the name uncultured Pseudomonas sp. RNAcentral describes it as "bacterial SSU rRNA". It matches the Rfam family "Bacterial small subunit ribosomal RNA", at positions 924 to 1382 of the family's 1533-position model. The record is from RNAcentral. Lineage: Bacteria; Pseudomonadati; Pseudomonadota; Gammaproteobacteria; Pseudomonadales; Pseudomonadaceae.
CACAAGCGGUGGAGCAUGUGGUUUAAUUCGAUGCAACGCGAAGAACCUUACCUGGGCUUGACAUCCCGGGAAUCCCUUGGAAACAAGGGAGUGCCCUUCGGGGAACCUGGAGACAGGUGCUGCAUGGCUGUCGUCAGCUCGUGUCGUGAGAUGUUGGGUUAAGUCCCGUAACGAGCGCAACCCUUGUCCUUAGUUACCAGCACGUUAAGGUGGGCACUCUAAGGAGACUGCCGGUGACAAACCGGAGGAAGGUGGGGAUGACGUCAAGCCAUCAUGGCCCUUACGGCCUGGGCUACACACGUGCUACAAUGGUCGGUACAAAGGGUUGCCAAGCCGCGAGGUGGAGCUAAUCCCAUAAAACCGAUCGUAGUCCGGAUCGCAGUCUGCAACUCGACUGCGUGAAGUCGGAAUCGCUAGUAAUCGUGAAUCAGAAUGUCACGGUGAAUACGUUCCCGGGCCUU